GACGAACCGUCCAAACGUUAUUCGGAAUUAUUGGGCUUAAAGGGUGCGUAGGCUGUGCAGUAAGUUGGGUGUGAAAUCCCUCGGCUCAACCGAGGAACUGCGCCGAAUACUGCUGUGCUAGAGGGAGAUAGGGGUAAGCGGAACUGAUGGUGGAGCGGUGAAAUGCGUUGAUAUCAUCAGGAACACCGGUGGCGAAGGCGGCUUACUGGAUCUCUUCUGACGCUGAUGCACGAAAGCUAGGGGAGCGAAC
RNAcentral lists this ribosomal RNA (250 nucleotides) under uncultured bacterium. Its description in RNAcentral is "partial 16S ribosomal RNA". It matches the Rfam family "Bacterial small subunit ribosomal RNA", at positions 524 to 773 of the family's 1533-position model. The record is from RNAcentral.